GACGAACGCUGGCGGCGUGCUUAACACAUGCAAGUCGAACGGAAAGGCCCUGCUUUUGUGGGGUGCUCGAUUGGCGAACGGGUGAGUAACACGUGAGUAACCUGCCCUUUACUUUGGGAUAACUUCAGGAAACUUGGGCUAAUACCGGAUAGGAGCUCCUGCUGCAUGGUGGGGGUUGGAAAUUUUCGGCGGUUGGGGAUGGACGCGCGGCUUAUCAGCUUGUUGGUGGGGUAGUGGCUUACCAAGGGUUUGACGGGUAGCCGGCCUGAGAGGGUGACCGGCCACAAUGGGACUGAGAGACGGACCAGAAUGCAACGGGAGGCAGCAGUGGGGAAUAUUGCAAAAUGGGAGGAAGCCUGAGGCAGAAACGCCGCGUGCGGGAUGACGGCCUUCGGGUUGUAAAACGAUUUAGCAUGUGACGAAGCGUGAGUGACGGUAAUGGGUAAAGAAGCAACGGCUAACUACGUG
RNAcentral lists this ribosomal RNA (468 nucleotides) under uncultured bacterium. Its description in RNAcentral is "partial 16S ribosomal RNA". It matches the Rfam family "Bacterial small subunit ribosomal RNA", at positions 28 to 507 of the family's 1533-position model. The record is from RNAcentral.